Molecule: transfer RNA, 73 nt
Filed under: Myotis brandtii (Brandt's bat)
Lineage: Eukaryota; Metazoa; Chordata; Mammalia; Chiroptera; Vespertilionidae
Rfam family: tRNA
About the family: Transfer RNA (tRNA) molecules are approximately 80 nucleotides in length. Their secondary structure includes four short double-helical elements and three loops (D, anti-codon, and T loops).
Source: Rfam by way of RNAcentral
GCCAAUUUGGCUCAGUGGAUAGAGCGUCAGUCUGUGGACUGAAGGGUCCCGGGUUCGAUUCUGGUAACGGGCA